ACAGAGGUCCCAAGCGUUGUUCGGAUUCACUGGGCGUAAAGGGUGCGUAGGCGGUCGGGUAAGUCUGAUGUGAAAGCUCGGAGCUCAACUCCGAAAUGGCAUCGGAAACUAUUCGGCUCGAGGAAUGGAGGGGAGACUGGAAUACUUGGUGUAGCAGUGAAAUGCGUAGAUAUCAAGUGGAACACCAGUGGCGAAGGCGAGUCUCUGGACAUUUCCUGACGCUGAGGCACGAAAGCCAGGGGAGCAAACGG
This 251-nucleotide ribosomal RNA is filed under the name uncultured prokaryote. RNAcentral describes it as "partial 16S ribosomal RNA". It matches the Rfam family "Bacterial small subunit ribosomal RNA", at positions 525 to 775 of the family's 1533-position model. The record is from RNAcentral.